This 789-nucleotide ribosomal RNA is filed under the name Lactiplantibacillus plantarum. RNAcentral's name for it is "bacterial SSU rRNA". It matches the Rfam family "Bacterial small subunit ribosomal RNA", at positions 386 to 1168 of the family's 1533-position model. Lineage: Bacteria; Bacillati; Bacillota; Bacilli; Lactobacillales; Lactobacillaceae. The record is from RNAcentral.
AUGGAGCACGCCGCGUGAGUGAAGAAGGGUUUCGGCUCGUAAAACUCUGUUGUUAAAGAAGAACAUAUCUGAGAGUAACUGUUCAGGUAUUGACGGUAUUUAACCAGAAAGCCACGGCUAACUACGUGCCAGCAGCCGCGGUAAUACGUAGGUGGCAAGCGUUGUCCGGAUUUAUUGGGCGUAAAGCGAGCGCAGGCGGUUUUUUAAGUCUGAUGUGAAAGCCUUCGGCUCAACCGAAGAAGUGCAUCGGAAACUGGGAAACUUGAGUGCAGAAGAGGACAGUGGAACUCCAUGUGUAGCGGUGAAAUGCGUAGAUAUAUGGAAGAACACCAGUGGCGAAGGCGGCUGUCUGGUCUGUAACUGACGCUGAGGCUCGAAAGUAUGGGUAGCAAACAGGAUUAGAUACCCUGGUAGUCCAUACCGUAAACGAUGAAUGCUAAGUGUUGGAGGGUUUCCGCCCUUCAGUGCUGCAGCUAACGCAUUAAGCAUUCCGCCUGGGGAGUACGGCCGCAAGGCUGAAACUCAAAGGAAUUGACGGGGGCCCGCACAAGCGGUGGAGCAUGUGGUUUAAUUCGAAGCUACGCGAAGAACCUUACCAGGUCUUGACAUACUAUGCAAAUCUAAGAGAUUAGACGUUCCCUUCGGGGACAUGGAUACAGGUGGUGCAUGGUUGUCGUCAGCUCGUGUCGUGAGAUGUUUGGGUUAAGUCCCGCAACGAGCGCAACCCUUAUUAUCAGUUGCCAGCAUUAAGUUGGGCACUCUGGUGAGACUGCCGGUGACAAACCGGAA